Molecule: long non-coding RNA, 865 nt
Filed under: Nicotiana benthamiana
Lineage: Eukaryota; Viridiplantae; Streptophyta; Magnoliopsida; Solanales; Solanaceae
Description: long non-coding RNA (NBEN_LNC006456)
Source: RNAcentral
AGCCCACCUAGGAGUUCUCCCUUCCUUGCUGCAUUCUUUUUUCUUCUGAACAUUCAUGCUAAGUCCCAAAUUAAAAAUCCAGAAGAACCUGAUACAAUUACUGUCUCUCUGUGUUGGUGAAGAAGAAAUCAUUAGAAAUGGAAUGCUACUGAAGGUGACAUUGGUAAAGCAAAACCAAUGUAUACUUACUCAAAGGCAGGACCAAUGAUUGUCAUGCGAUGCUAAGUCCCAAAAACAGAAGAACCAAUGUAUACAUUGGAACGUUGUUGUUGUUUCCUCCUUAGUAUACUGGCCCUGAUCCUUAGAAUUUUGCCUAGCUGUUGUAGCAACGACCUCACCUAAAUUCACCUCACCAUCACAUGUAGUAGCAGUCUGCUCAUUGCACUUGGGAUUUUCCCCUCGUAACUUCUGUUCGUGCUCUCCACCAUAACUGAUUUUUCAGCUAGCUCAACAGAUGCAGUAGCAGGUUGAGCAUGUAAUUCUUGAAUCAGAAAUACAAACAUGUGUCCUCGAUGCAUAUCGCACCAAUCCCGGGCACUUUUGGACUAAUAAUUUGAAAACAUACUAGCUAAGGCACGAUCAACAUAAACAUCAGUCCGUUUUGUUCGUCAACAACAGGUCUCUGUAACUAAAUUCAUUGGACUUGUCUGCUAUUGCUUUCUGUAUCUUUUUCCUGGGAUAACUGUUUUGAUUCCUGAUGUUCUGAUUGUACCCAAUGUUGCUUUUUUUUUAUUCUGAGUGCCUACUGCUGUCCUUCUCCUUGAUAAGAAUGUUUAAAGAAAAACUAUGAACUGCAUGAGAUAUUGAUAUAUGAUCUUAACUCUUAAGUAAUUAUGUAUAGGUUUCUGUUAAUUUUCUUUUGAAA